RNAcentral lists this ribosomal RNA (1525 nucleotides) under Parabacteroides distasonis. Its description in RNAcentral is "bacterial SSU rRNA". It matches the Rfam family "Bacterial small subunit ribosomal RNA". The record is from RNAcentral. Lineage: Bacteria; Pseudomonadati; Bacteroidota; Bacteroidia; Bacteroidales; Tannerellaceae.
ACAACGAAGAGUUUGAUCCUGGCUCAGGAUGAACGCUAGCGACAGGCUUAACACAUGCAAGUCGAGGGGCAGCACAGGUAGCAAUACCGGGUGGCGACCGGCGCACGGGUGAGUAACGCGUAUGCAACUUACCUAUCAGAGGGGGAUAACCCGGCGAAAGUCGGACUAAUACCGCAUGAAGCAGGGGCCCCGCAUGGGGAUAUUUGCUAAAGAUUCAUCGCUGAUAGAUAGGCAUGCGUUCCAUUAGGCAGUUGGCGGGGUAACGGCCCACCAAACCGACGAUGGAUAGGGGUUCUGAGAGGAAGGUCCCCCACAUUGGUACUGAGACACGGACCAAACUCCUACGGGAGGCAGCAGUGAGGAAUAUUGGUCAAUGGCCGAGAGGCUGAACCAGCCAAGUCGCGUGAGGGAUGAAGGUUCUAUGGAUCGUAAACCUCUUUUAUAAGGGAAUAAAGUGCGGGACGUGUCCCGUUUUGUAUGUACCUUAUGAAUAAGGAUCGGCUAACUCCGUGCCAGCAGCCGCGGUAAUACGGAGGAUCCGAGCGUUAUCCGGAUUUAUUGGGUUUAAAGGGUGCGUAGGCGGCCUUUUAAGUCAGCGGUGAAAGUCUGUGGCUCAACCAUAGAAUUGCCGUUGAAACUGGGGGGCUUGAGUAUGUUUGAGGCAGGCGGAAUGCGUGGUGUAGCGGUGAAAUGCAUAGAUAUCACGCAGAACCCCGAUUGCGAAGGCAGCCUGCCAAGCCAUGACUGACGCUGAUGCACGAAAGCGUGGGGAUCAAACAGGAUUAGAUACCCUGGUAGUCCACGCAGUAAACGAUGAUCACUAGCUGUUUGCGAUACACAGUAAGCGGCACAGCGAAAGCGUUAAGUGAUCCACCUGGGGAGUACGCCGGCAACGGUGAAACUCAAAGGAAUUGACGGGGGCCCGCACAAGCGGAGGAACAUGUGGUUUAAUUCGAUGAUACGCGAGGAACCUUACCCGGGUUUGAACGCAUUCGGACCGAGGUGGAAACACCUUUUCUAGCAAUAGCCGUUUGCGAGGUGCUGCAUGGUUGUCGUCAGCUCGUGCCGUGAGGUGUCGGCUUAAGUGCCAUAACGAGCGCAACCCUUGCCACUAGUUACUAACAGGUAAAGCUGAGGACUCUGGUGGGACUGCCAGCGUAAGCUGCGAGGAAGGCGGGGAUGACGUCAAAUCAGCACGGCCCUUACAUCCGGGGCGACACACGUGUUACAAUGGCGUGGACAAAGGGAGGCCACCUGGCGACAGGGAGCGAAUCCCCAAACCACGUCUCAGUUCGGAUCGGAGUCUGCAACCCGACUCCGUGAAGCUGGAUUCGCUAGUAAUCGCGCAUCAGCCAUGGCGCGGUGAAUACGUUCCCGGGCCUUGUACACACCGCCCGUCAAGCCAUGGGAGCCGGGGGUACCUGAAGUCCGUAACCGCGAGGAUCGGCCUAGGGUAAAACUGGUGACUGGGGCUAAGUCGUAACAAGGUAGCCGUACCGGAAGGUGCGGCUGGAACACCUCCUUU